AGAGUUUGAUCCUGGCUCAGAAUGAACGCUGGCGGCGUGCUUAACACAUGCAAGUCGUGCGCGAAGGCGGCUUCGGCUGCCGGAGAGCGGCGAACGGGUGAGUAACACGUGGGUAAUCUGCCUGGGAGUGGGGGAUAACCUGGGGAAACCCGGGCUAACACCGCAUACGAUGCCGGGUCUAAGGAUCUGGUCUGAAAGCUGGCCUCUGCUUGCAAGCUAGCGCUCCCAGAGGAGCCCGCGGCUGAUUAGCUGGUUGGUGGGGUAAUGGCCUACCAAGGCGACGAUCAGUAGCCGGCCUGAGAGGGUGAUCGGCCACACUGGAACUGAGACACGGUCCAGACUCCUACGGGAGGCAGCAGUGGGGAAUAUUGGACAAUGGGCGCAAGCCUGAUCCAGCAACGCCGCGUGGAGGACGAAGGUCUUCGGAUCGUAAACUCCUGUCAGACGGGACGAAGGUCUGGGGGUGAAUAACUCUCAGGCUUGACGGUACUGUCAGAGGAAGCCCCGGCUAACUCCGUGCCAGCAGCCGCGGUAAUACGGAGGGGGCGAGCGUUAUUCGGAAUUAUUGGGCGUAAAGGGCGCGUAGGCGGCUUGAUAAGUCAAAGGUGAAAUCCCUCGGCUCAACUGAGGAACUGCCUUUGAAACUGUCUGGCUUGAGGCCGGGAGGGGGUAGCGGAAUUCCCAGUGUAGCGGUGAAAUGCGUAGAUAUUGGGAGGAACACCGGUGGCGAAGGCGGCUACCUGGACCGGUUCUGACGCUGAUGCGCGAAAGCGUGGGUAGCAAACAGGAUUAGAUACCCUGGUAGUCCACGCUGUAAACG
Molecule: ribosomal RNA, 820 nt
Filed under: uncultured soil bacterium
Lineage: Bacteria
Description: bacterial SSU rRNA
Rfam family: Bacterial small subunit ribosomal RNA
Source: RNAcentral